AGUGAACGCUGGCGGUAGGCCUAACACAUGCAAGUCGAACGGCAGCACAGUAAGAGCUUGCUCUUACGGGUGGCGAGUGGCGGACGGGUGAGGAAUACAUCGGAAUCUACUUUUUCGUGGGGGAUAACGUAGGGAAACUUACGCUAAUACAGCAUACGACCUACGGGUGAAAGCAGGGGAUCUUCGGACCUUGCGCGAUUGAAUGAGCCGAUGUCGGAUUAGCUAGUUGGCGGGGUAAAGGCCCACCAAGGCGACGAUCCGUAGCUGGUCUGAGAGGAUGAUCAGCCACACUGGAACUGAGACACGGUCCAGACGCCUACGGGAGGCAGCAGUGGGGAAUAUUGGACAAUGGGCGCAAGCCUGAUCCAGCCAUACCGCGUGGGUGAAGAAGGCCUUCGGGUUGUAAAGCCCUUUUGUUGGGAAAGAAAAGCAGCAGGUUAAUACCCCGCUGUUCUGACGGUACCCAAAGAAUAAGCACCGGCUAACUUCGUG
Molecule: ribosomal RNA, 492 nt
Filed under: uncultured bacterium
Lineage: Bacteria
Description: partial 16S ribosomal RNA
Rfam family: Bacterial small subunit ribosomal RNA
Source: RNAcentral